GAUUUCUGGCUUGAAGCAUUUGGCCGGCCACGGUUUCGUGUGUUAGUGCUUUGUGCUCUGGCCAUCCUUCCAAUCGCUAUUGGCUUAUCUUCAUUGAUUGGUCAGUGGUAUUGGAUCUUUUACUUUGAAAAAAUUAGAGUGUUUCAAGCAGGCUUUAUGCUAUGAAUACAUUAGCAUGGAAUAAUAAUUUAGGACUUUGUUUCUAUUUUGUUGGUUUCUAGAGGCGAAGUAAUGAUUGAUAGGGAUAGUUGGGGGUGCUAGUAUUCAGCGGCCAGAGGUGAAAUUCUUGGAUUCGCUGAAGACUAACUUAUGCGAAAGCAUU
RNAcentral lists this ribosomal RNA (322 nucleotides) under Cercozoa sp. RNAcentral describes it as "SSU rRNA". The stretch from base 62 to 322 matches the Rfam family "Eukaryotic small subunit ribosomal RNA", at positions 694 to 955 of the family's 1831-position model. Lineage: Eukaryota; Cercozoa. The record is from RNAcentral.